This 606-nucleotide ribosomal RNA is filed under the name uncultured bacterium. Its description in RNAcentral is "bacterial SSU rRNA". It matches the Rfam family "Bacterial small subunit ribosomal RNA", at positions 241 to 862 of the family's 1533-position model. The record is from RNAcentral.
UUAGCUUGUUGGUAGGGUAACGGCCUACCAAGGCGACGAUCGAUAGCUGGUCUGAGAGGAUGAUCAGCCACACUGGGACUGAGACACGGCCCAGACUCCUACGGGAGGCAGCAGCAAGGAAUUUUGUGCAAUGGGCGAAAGCCUGACACAGCAACGCCGCGUGAGGGAUGACGGCCUUCGGGUUGUAAACCUCUUUUAUCAGGGAAGAAUAAUGACGGUACCUGAUGAAUAAGCUUCGGCUAACUACGUGCCAGCAGCCGCGGUAAUACGUAGGAAGCGAGCGUUAUCCGAAUUUACUGGGCGUAAAGUGGGCGUAGGCGGCCUUUCAAGUUGGAUGUGAAAUCUCCUGGCUUAACUGGGAGGAGUCAUCCAAUACUGCUAGGCUUGAGGACAGCAGGAGAAAGUGGAAUUCCCGGUGUAGUGGUGAAAUGCGUAGAUAUCGGGAGGAACACCAGUGGCGAAGGCGGCUUUCUAGGCUGUUUCUGACGCUGAGGCCCUAAAGUGUGGGUAGCGAACAGGAUUAGAUACCCUGGUAGUCCACACCAUAAACGAUGAAUACUUGGUAUAGGGAGUUUCGACCCUCUCUGUGCCGAAGCUAACGCUUUA